RNAcentral lists this ribosomal RNA (658 nucleotides) under uncultured Bacteroidota bacterium. RNAcentral's name for it is "bacterial SSU rRNA". It matches the Rfam family "Bacterial small subunit ribosomal RNA", at positions 50 to 697 of the family's 1533-position model. The record is from RNAcentral. Lineage: Bacteria; Pseudomonadati; Bacteroidota.
AACACAUGCAAGUCGAGGGGCAGCGGGAAGUCAGCUUGCUGGCUUUGCCGGCGACCGGCGCACGGGUGAGUAACACGUAUCCAACCUCCCGCAUACUCGGGAAUAGCCUUUCGAAAGAAAGAUUAAUGCCCGAUGGUUUCAAGGGAUUGCAUGGUAUCUUGAAUAAAGAUUCAUCGGUAUGCGAUGGGGAUGCGUUCCAUUAGGCAGUUGGCGGGGUAACGGCCCACCAAACCGACGAUGGAUAGGGGUUCUGAGAGGAAGGUCCCCCACAUUGGAACUGAGACACGGUCCAAACUCCUACGGGAGGCAGCAGUGAGGAAUAUUGGUCAAUGGGCGAGAGCCUGAACCAGCCAAGUAGCGUGAAGGAUGACUGCCCUACGGGUUGUAAACUCCUUUUAUAGAGGAAUAAAGUUGCGUAUGUAUACGCAUUUGCAUGUACUUUAUGAAUAAGCAUCGGCUAACUCCGUGCCAGCAGCCGCGGUAAUACGGAGGAUGCGAGCGUUAUCCGGAUUUAUUGGGUUUAAAGGGAGCGUAGACGGGAUGUCAAGUCAGCUGUGAAAGUUUGCGGCUCAACCGUAAAAUUGCAGUUGAAACUGGCUUUCUUGAGUGCGGUAGAGGCAGGCGGAAUUCGUGGUGUAGCGGUGAAAUGCUUAGAUAU